UAGGGAAUCUUCCGCAAUGGACGAAAGUCUGACGGAGCAACGCCGCGUGAGUGAAGAAGGAUUUCGGUUCGUAAAACUCUGUUGUUAGGGAAGAAAAAAUGUAUAGUAACUAUAUACAAAAGAGACGGUACCUAACCAGAAAGCCACGGCUAACUACGUGCCAGCAGCCGCGGUAAUACGUAGGUGGCAAGCGUUGUCCGGAAUUAUUGGGCGUAAAGCGCGCGCAGGUGGUUUAGAAAGUCUGAUGUGAAAGCCCACGGCUCAACCGUGUAGGGUCAUUGGAAACUAAUAAACUUGAGUGCAGGAGGGGAAAGUGGAAUUCCUAGUGUAGCGGUGAAAUGCGUAGAGAUUAGGAGGAACACCGGUGGCGAAAGCGGCUUUUUGGCCUGCAACUGACACUGAGGCGCGAAAGCGUGGGGAGCAAACAGG
RNAcentral lists this ribosomal RNA (429 nucleotides) under Verrucomicrobiota bacterium. RNAcentral describes it as "Verrucomicrobia bacterium partial 16S ribosomal RNA". It matches the Rfam family "Bacterial small subunit ribosomal RNA", at positions 355 to 776 of the family's 1533-position model. The record is from RNAcentral. Lineage: Bacteria; Pseudomonadati; Verrucomicrobiota.